GAUGAAGAACGUAGCGAAAUGCGAUACGUAGUGUGAAUUGCAGAAUUCAGUGAAUCAUCGAGUCUUUGAACGCACAUUGCGCCCCCUGGUAUUCCGGGGGGCAUGCCUGUCCGAGCGUCAUUGCUGCCCUCAAGCACGGCUUGUGUGUUGGGCCCCGUCCUCCGAUCCCGGGGGACGGGCCCGAAAGGCAGCGGCGGCACCGCGUCCGGUCCUCGAGCGUAUGGGGCUUUGUCACCCGCUCUGUAGGCCCGGCCGGCGCUUGCCGAUCAACCCAAAUUUUUUAUCCAGGUUGACCUCGGAUCAGGUAGGGAUACCCGCUGAACUUAAGCAUAUCAAUAAGCGGAGGA
RNAcentral lists this unclassified non-coding RNA (347 nucleotides) under soil metagenome. RNAcentral describes it as "partial contains 5.8S ribosomal RNA, internal transcribed spacer 2, and large subunit ribosomal RNA". The stretch from base 1 to 120 matches the Rfam family "5.8S ribosomal RNA", at positions 35 to 154 of the family's 154-position model. The record is from RNAcentral.